GUUAAAUUCACACACACUAGUUUGAUCCCAUAUAGACUAGAUUAGCAUGACCCUUGUAUAAGGAUAAUAUACAAAUUUGUGAAAAUUUCAUUUUUUUU
This 98-nucleotide small nuclear RNA is filed under the name Mesocricetus auratus (golden hamster). Lineage: Eukaryota; Metazoa; Chordata; Mammalia; Rodentia; Cricetidae. The record is from RNAcentral.